This 460-nucleotide ribosomal RNA is filed under the name uncultured bacterium. RNAcentral's name for it is "partial 16S ribosomal RNA". It matches the Rfam family "Bacterial small subunit ribosomal RNA", at positions 338 to 795 of the family's 1533-position model. The record is from RNAcentral.
CCUACGGGUGGCAGCAGUGAGGAAUAUUGGUCAAUGGGCGAGAGCCUGAACCAGCCAAGUCGCGUGAAGGAUGACGGCCCUACGGGUUGUAAACUUCUUUUUUCAGGGAGCAAUUUGGUCCACGCGUGGGCUUAGCGAGAGUACCUGAAGAAAAAGCAUCGGCUAACUCCGUGCCCGCAGCCGGGGUAAUACGGGGGAUGCGAGCUUUAUCCGGUUUUAUGGGGUUAAAAGGGUGCGUGGGGGGAAGUUCAGGUCAGCGGGAAAACUUCGGGUCCCAACCCCGUAGUGCCGUUGAAACUGAUGUUCUUGAGUGGGCGAGAAGUAGGCGGAAUGCGUGGUGUAGCGGUGAAAUGCAUAGAUAUCACGCAGAACUCCGAUUGCGAAGGCAGUACACCGGAGCGCAACUGACGCUGAAGCACGAAAGCGUGGGUAUCGAACAGGAUUAGAUACCCGGGUAGUC